CAUAGCGAGAAAGAACUAACAGGAUUCCCCUAGUAACGGCGAGUGAAGCGGGAAAAGCUCAAAUUUAAAAUCUGGCGGUCCAAGGCCGUCCGAGUUGUAAUCUAGAGAAGUGUUAUCUGUGCUGGACCAUGUACAAGUCCCUUGGAACAGGGCGUCAUAGAGGGUGAGAAUCCCGUCUAAGACAUGGACUCCCAGUACUAUGUGAUGCACUCUCGACGAGUCGAGUUGUUUGGGAAUGCAGCUCAAAAUGGGUGGUAAAUUCCAUCUAAAGCUAAAUACAGGCAAAAGACCGAUAGCGAACAAGUACCGUGAGGGAAAGAUGAAAAGCACUUUGGAAAGAGAGUUAAACAGUACGUGAAAUUGUUGAAAGGGAAACGCUUGAAGUCAGUCGCGUCUUCAGGGACUCAGCUUGGCUUCUUUGCCAAGUGCACUUCCCUGAACGACGGGCCAGCAUCAGUUUCGGCCGCUGGAAAAAGGCUGGAGGAAGGUGGCACCUUUCGAGGUGUGUUAUAGCCUCCUGCUGUAUACAGCGGCUGGGACUGAGGAUCGCAGCAUGCCUUUAUGGCCGGGGUUCGCCCACGUUACAUGCUUAGGAUGCUGGCGUAAUGGCUUUAAACGACCCGUCUUGAAACACGGACCAAGGAGUCUAACAUGCC
RNAcentral lists this ribosomal RNA (656 nucleotides) under Sclerogaster sp. KH-NZ06-210. RNAcentral's name for it is "eukaryotic LSU rRNA". It matches the Rfam family "Eukaryotic large subunit ribosomal RNA", at positions 51 to 684 of the family's 3401-position model. The record is from RNAcentral. Lineage: Eukaryota; Fungi; Basidiomycota; Agaricomycetes.